CCCUGGGUGGUGUAAAUGGUUAACACACUUGGCUGCUAGCCAAAAUUUGGUAGUUCAACACCACCCAGAGGAU
RNAcentral lists this transfer RNA (73 nucleotides) under Loxodonta africana (African savanna elephant). It matches the Rfam family "tRNA". From Rfam's summary of the family: Transfer RNA (tRNA) molecules are approximately 80 nucleotides in length. Their secondary structure includes four short double-helical elements and three loops (D, anti-codon, and T loops). Further hydrogen bonds mediate the characteristic L-shaped molecular structure. tRNAs have two regions of fundamental functional importance: the anti-codon, which is responsible for specific mRNA codon recognition, and the 3' end, to which the tRNAs corresponding amino acid is attached (by aminoacyl-tRNA synthetases). tRNAs cope with the degeneracy of the genetic code in two manners: having more than one tRNA (with a specific anti-codon) for a particular amino acid; and 'wobble' base-pairing, i.e. permitting non-standard base-pairing at the 3rd anti-codon position. Lineage: Eukaryota; Metazoa; Chordata; Mammalia; Proboscidea; Elephantidae. The record is from Rfam by way of RNAcentral.